RNAcentral lists this ribosomal RNA (357 nucleotides) under uncultured bacterium. Its description in RNAcentral is "bacterial SSU rRNA". It matches the Rfam family "Bacterial small subunit ribosomal RNA", at positions 43 to 386 of the family's 1533-position model. The record is from RNAcentral.
GAAUUCGCUAGUGAUUCAGGCCUAACACAUGCAAGUCGAGCGGUAGAGAGAAGCUUGCUUCUCUUGAGAACGGCGGACGGGUGAGUAAUGCCUAGGAAUCUGCCUGGUAGUGGGGGAUAACGUUCGGAAACGGACGCUAAUACCGCAUACGUCCUACGGGAGAAAGCAGGGGACCUUCGGGCCUUGCGCUAUCGGAUGAGCCUAGGUCGGAUUAGCUAGUUGGUGAGGUAAUGGCUCACCAAGGCGACGAUCCGUAACUGGUCUGAGAGGAUGAUCAGUCACACUGGAACGGGGACACGGUCCAGACUCCUACGGGAGGCAGCAGUGGGGAAUAUUGGACAAUGGGCGAAAGCCUGA